Long non-coding RNA from Tarenaya hassleriana, 196 nucleotides. RefSeq lists it as uncharacterized. The record is from RefSeq and is a predicted model, not a curated record. Lineage: Eukaryota; Viridiplantae; Streptophyta; Magnoliopsida; Brassicales; Cleomaceae. The transcript has 3 exons.
CAGAAACUCUGCAAAUGGCUUGUACAACUCUUAAUGGCACUCGAUUAUCUGCAUUCCAAUCAUAUCCUUCACCGUGAUGUCAAGUGUUCUAACAUAUUCUUGACAAAAGAUCAAGACAUACGGCUUGGUGACUUUGGACUUGCUAAGGUUCUAACUUCUGAUGAUCUGACAUCCUCUGUAAGUUUUAAUCAGUUCC